This is a long non-coding RNA of Neofelis nebulosa (Clouded leopard), 1267 nucleotides long. RefSeq lists it as uncharacterized. The transcript has 2 exons. Lineage: Eukaryota; Metazoa; Chordata; Mammalia; Carnivora; Felidae. The record is from RefSeq and is a predicted model, not a curated record.
UAUUUUUAAUUUCCUUCCCUCCUGAUGUUAACGGUCCUCUUUCCUUAUAUAGAGUUCCACGAACAUGGGCGGUGGUGAAGGCCUACCUGCUAUCCGUGAAGACGUUCACCGUUUUUCCCUUUGCCCAUCUGAGGGCCUGGGCUAGAGCCAUCAGCUCUUCUCUUUGGGCAGAAGUGUUGUGCUCAAGGGCUUGGGCCCAGAUAACCUGGUCCUGAGUCACUACAGCUGCACCUGCGUGUCUGAGUCCAUCUUUGACAAAACGGCUGCCAUCAGAGAACAGCUCGAAAUCCACCUUUGGCAGAGGUUGACCUCUUAAGUCCCUCCUCAGUCCCGUCAGAGUACUCCCAGUUUCCAAGCAAUUGUGGAGUGGGGCCUCUGAGUCGUCAUCAGGCAUCAAUGUGGCUGGAUUUAAAGCCUCUGUCUUCAAGAAAGCGAUGCGUGGAGGGUCCAGUAGCAAUACCUGAUCCUGGAGGAUUCGUGCGUUGAUCCAUCGGUCUGGUGGGGAGCGCAGCAGGGACGCUACUGUGUGAGGUCCUGUGAUCUGAAGGUCUUGCCCAAGCGUUAGUUUGGAAGCUUCUUUAACCAGUGGCGGCAACAGCUCUGAGGCAACUGGGCCACCCGGUGGCAACAGAGUCCAGCCGCCUGGGCAACUUCCACGUUAUGCUACAGCCACCCUCACAUAAAGUUUUGGAGAACAGAGGGAUUCUGGAUAAAGCCGAACCCCAGUGAACCGAGCUGCACACAGCUGGAUGCCGAGCCAACAGCACUUCUUCAAGGAAGACAGAGUUAGACCUUCAGCAGGACGCUUUCUGGCUAGGCCUUCAUUCUGGGGACGCUGAUCUGGAGCUAAUAUCCGGCUACACAGUUCUGCUUUGAACAGAUUCUCCUCCUGACACUCCUACAUUCUUUUUUUUUUUUGGUUGGAAUUUUUUUUUGUAAUUGAAGUGUGGUCGACAUAUAAUGUCAGUUUCACAUAAACAACACGGUGACUUGACAUUUCUACACAUUAUGAAACAAUCACCCCAAUAAGUCUGGUUAUCACCUGCCACCAAAGUUAUUAGAAUAUUAUUGCGUAUAUUUCCUAUGCUGUACUUCACAUCUCUGUGACUUGACUGGAGGUUUGUACCUUUUGAUGUCUGUCACCAAUCCUCCCCUCACCCCACCCCACUGCCAGUCAACCACUAGUUUGUUCUCUGUUAUUUUUGAGUCUGUUUCUGUUUUGUUUGCUUGUUGUCUUGUUUUUAUAUUCAACAUACAAGUGAAAUCA